UUGAAUGGCCCACAUACAUCAGUAUGUAUUAGGUCCAACAAACCUUCACCCCUCUCACAAGUUCCAGUGAAGGGUGAUUUUGUCAUUUUUCCAAGUAGACAAGAUUCACAACUAUCAUCUGAUUUGAGGUCAAAUGAUUCCAAGACUCCACUCUUUUGGAGUUGGUCUAUGCGUUUCUUGUUUACAUGUCCAAGACGACAAUGCCACAAUGAUGCUUUAUCUAGGCUAGUAGAAGAAUCAAUAUACAACACAUUAUUUCCUAAGUUGUCUACAAUCGACACAGUUUCAUACACGCCAUCACAAGGUAAUGCUUUAAAAUAAAACACAUUAUUAAAGAAAGCAUUAAUACCACCACAUUCAUUAUCAAACGAAAAGGUAAAACCUUGUUUGUACAAAGCAUGAAAAGAAAUAAUAUUCCUCGCCAUUUCAGACGAGUAUACACAUUUAUUCAAAUCUAAUUUUAACCCAUUAUUAAGCAACAAAGUAUAAACUCCAAUCUUGGAAACAGGUGAAGCCUUCCUAUUCCCCAUGAUUAAGUUUAUCUUCCCGUGCUCCACAUCCUCACUUCUUCUUAGGCCCUGCAAAUCAGAACAUAUGUGAAUACCACAUCCUGUAUCAAGCACCCAAGAGUUAGAAUAUGUUGAGUAAUUAGACAAUAUAGUGUAAAUACCUGCAUAGGUGGGUUUCACUUUCCCAUCCUUUAGAUCCUGCAAGUACUUAGGGCAGUUUCGCUUCCAGUGUGCCUUUUCAUGGCAAUAAAAGCAUUCAGCAUCCUUUGGAAUGGCAGAAGGAGUGACAGAACCGUUCUUAGUCUUGGAUGAGGAGCCUUCAAGAGACUUUCCCUUGGUACCCUUCGAAGGGUGCUUCCUCUUUUUCCCUUUGCCUUGCCCAAUAGCUAAAACAGGGGUAGAAGUUGGAGUAGGAGUAGUAGAGGUAACAACCGCUUUACCCUUAAGACCGGUUUCAGCGGUCUUCAAGAGUCCUUGAAGCUUGCUGAGGGUAACUUCCUCCUUGUUCAUAUGAUAUGUCAUUCGAAAAUGAUCAUAACAAGAAGGCAAGGAGUGCAAAAUGAUGUCAAUUGCUAACUCCUCGGGGAUGUUAACAUUCAGCUUCAGCAAACGGUCCACAUACCUUUGCAUCUUUUGCAUGUGGCCCGUGACGGAUUCACCGUCCUUCAUGCGGGUAGUUAUUAUGGAGGAGAUUAUUUCAUACCGCUCCUGACGAGCACUCUGAUGGUACCUUUCCAUCAAGUCUUGGUGCAUCUCAAAAGGGUAGAAAUCUUCAUAUGACUUUUGGAGCUCGGCUGUCAUCGUGGCCAUCAUGAUACAUGCCACCUUAGUAGCAUCUCUCUCAUGAGUCCUGAAUUCAGCGAUCUCCUCAGGAGUAGCAGUAGACUCAUCAAGUUCUUUUAACUCCUUAUCGAGGACAUAUUCCUUGUCCUCGUAACGAGUAACCAUCCUGAUGUUCCUAAUCCAAUCCAUGAAGUUGGAACCAUCAAAGAUGACCCUCCCACAAAGAUUCAUGAGAGAGAAAGAACCAGUUGGGUUAGAGCCUGAAGCAUUAGUGUUGGAAGACAUCUGAAAGAAGAAAGUAAGUUUAGAUUAGAUAUUUAGGAUCCUUAAUAAGACACCCAAAUGUAAUAUUAAGGCUAGGAUCCAAUCACAAUAUAUUACACUUAGAAGAGGGAUGCCGUAAUCUAAGUAAUAAUAUAUUUGAAAGGUAGGCGAAUGACGAUUCACCAAUUUCCACCAUGAAAACGAAAUGAUUAAUUAGGUUUAAUUGGAUUUGAAAUUCCUAGAUUCUUUUGAGAUUCAUUGAACUUUUCAAUGGCAUGUUUCAAUCUCGAUUGUGCCCUUCAAGUUUUGUGACUGGGAUGCCGAGGAUCACAAAACAAGGUGUGAAUAACCAUGCUAACUCACUUGGUACUCCUAAUAUUAUCACCUAAUCAAUGUGCCGGUUAACCACACACGCUCCAUUGAUCUAUGACAACAUUAAGUUACCCUUCGUGAUCCUUACUAGUCUAAUUAGUGUGCCGGUUAACCACACACGCUCCACUAACGACUUGGUAAGGUACAAAGUGUGAAUUCCAUGGAUUAGCACCAUGUUCACAUUUUCCUAAAAUAACUAAGAUUGGGAAUUAAAAGAGUUUAGUUAUUUUAUAAUAUUCAUUAUACUUUUAAUGAGGAUUUAAAGUCGUUGUUCUACCCGUUCGGCUAACGACCCUCCACCGAUCAAGCAAGCGGUGGGUGAGAGUAUACACCCAUUAAGUCGCCAUUUUAUAGGCAACAACCUUAUACCCACCUUAUAGACCGGCUUCGUGAAUGAGGCCUACUAACGGUAAAACGACUUAUUCUUAUACAUAUAUAUAAUAAUUAACCAUUAAUGUUAUAAAUAGUAUAAGGGUUGAAUUUUAACUAUUAAAACUCUAAGGUUUGGAAUUAAAGUUUAUUAAAGUGUGUGAAACUUUACAAAUUCCAAAACUUGAGGACAAGUUUUGUAACUUUGCAAAACUCUUCAUUUCAUAACUUAUGAAUUAAAGGUUCAUAAAAAUGAAGACUCUUCAUUUUCAUGUAACUUAUGUGUUUUAAGUGUGUGUUAAAUGAAAGUGACCUUUGGUAAUCCAUAACUUGAGGACAAAUUAUGGACUCCAUUAAAACACAUAAAUGAUUAAGAAUUAAUUCUAAACAAUUCAGCAAAUAAUUCCUAUCAUUUUCUAAAUUCAUAAGAACAUGAACAUGAUCAUCAAAAAUUCAAGAAUUAUAUGAACACAUAAAAUCAUGGAUUUUUGAUAUAUGCUAUUGUAAAUGGAUUAGAACAACCAUUACACCAACUAAAAUAAGUUUUACAACACCAAAACAAUUUAGGGUAAUGUUUCCAGUCCAUUUCCAGCAGCAAAAGUCGAGAUUCUGCAUUCUUUCGAUCCUACUCGCCGAGUGCACGAACGGACUCGUCGAGUAGGUUGAAGUUUGCCUUGGACUCGGCGAGUCCCCCCAAUGGACUCGGCGAGUCUAGCAUGCAGACAGCAACGAUUUCGACUUUUUUCACUAUUUUGCAUCAAGUAUCAAACAAGCAAGCCUAGGCUCUGAUACCACUGUUGGGUUUUGAGCAAUCUAACACUUCCUAAGUGUGCAUGCAACCCUAAUAAACCUUGGAUCUAUGUUUGUCUAAAUACAUGCAAAAUAAUAAUUUUCCAAGGUUUAUAACCUAUCUAACAUGGCAUGGGGAACAUUUCAACAUAAAAGAGUUAGAAGAGAUUACAUACCUUUGUUGUGUUGGGUUCUUAGGAGUUUGAGGGCCAAGCACCAAUAGUGUGAAUGCCUCAAAUGGAAUCACAAACACCACAAACUCUUGGAAAACUUUGAGAGAGUAUACACACUCUUGUAUUUUCGGCCACACACAUGCACACACACACUAGAACACUAGCUUUCUCUUAGGCUAUCUUAGGCUCUCUUUCAUGCUCCAUAAGCAUGCUUAUAUAGUAUGCAUGGUUAGGGUGAAACCCUAAUAACCCAUGUCUUUUCCUAUUCCAAGGAUCCAUGGGUUAAAAGCUCCAUGGAUCAUCCAUGGACUUCCACAUAAGCCUAGCCCAUUAACAAAUGAGUAUUAGCCCACACUAUAUAAAACAAAUAGCCCAUAAUUUAAUUAGUAUUCCUUUUAAUCUCUAAAUUAAUCCAUAAUUAAUUUAAGACUAAAACUAAUUAAAUAACGUAACUUCAUAUUAAUAUAUUAUAACUCAUAAUAUAUUAAUAAACAUAUGUGUAUAACUCUCAUAAAAUUAUCCAUAAUAGUUUGGAUGAGAUGCAACCCAAAUGGACCAUGCCGGUCGGGUCAAGUAUAUACCAAAUAAGUUAUGGACUUAGACACCUUAUCCAACAGACUCCCACUUGGAUAAGUCUAAUAACUAUAUUUGCCUAUAACUUCAGGAACCAACCAACAAUCGUAGCUCUCGAAAACUCCCUCGAACAAUGAAGACUCUGUCGAACUAUGAAGCGCCAUUUUAGAUAAGUGAUCACAUAAUCCUCUGUUCUCAUGAUAUCAGCCGGACAAACACAUGGAACUAUGUCUUGCUUAUUGUCUAGCAGUUGUUUCUCGAUUAUCCGAUUUGUUUGACGAAGAACUUCACUGAACACAUCGGUUUAGUUCUGACCAGGCCUGGUAUAUGGGUCAACACAAAAUCAUCGAGGGGCCCGGAUAUCGCUUCUAUUUCUAGAAGGAACAGAUAAACUUCGACUGAUAUGCUUGUUCUACUACUUAUUGAAUUGUACACAAAGGCACGUUUUAUAACAUCAAGUUACUGAUGCGUUUACGUGCAAUCAAUGCACAACCAACUCAUAGGUAACAACUCAUAUCUCUAGGUUUAAAGAUUUAUAUGAUGUUAUCGUCUCACGAUCACUCGAGAUAAAUUCCAUGAAGUGAUACAAGUGAGCGUGGGUUUAUACCAAUACUCAUAACUUAUGAGUACUCAUGAAUGUUGCAGCAACCAUUGCCAUGCCUAAACACCUUUAAGGCAUCUACAAACCCAAUUCAUGACAAUCUUGAUUCAUACCUACUUCCGACGUAUGAUCGAUUGUGGAGGUUUGAACAAAUUAAUUAUUCUGGAAGUCAAAACAUGCAAAACUGAAACAAUAGUAAAUAAUUGACAAUGAUAGUAACACUUUACUCAUAAAUAAAUCACAAAUUUUAUUCAUCAUCAAACGUCGAUUACAUUUUACAAGUUUCAGGAAAACUAUCUAAUCUGUAAAACUAAUAUCGUCCCUCAGCCCGAUGCGUCUCGCAUGCUGAAAAUGCUUAACCCUCGUCAGUCCCUUCGUAAGGGGAUCUGCAGGAUUCUCAUCUGACGAUAUCCUCCUUGUCACAAGGAGUCCUUCUUCAAUCUUGUGCCUUAUGAAGUGAUAUUUUCUGUCAAUGUGUCGGGAUCUGCCAUGAUCUCUUGGUUCCUUGGCUAAGAUAACCGCAGCAUUGUUGUCACAGAAAAUCUCUAUAGGUUCCUUAAUAGCUGGUACAACUCCAAGGUCUCCGAUGAAGUUCUUUAGCCAUAUCGCCUCCUUCGCUGCUUCACUCGCUGCUAUAUACUCUGAUUCACAAGUCGAAUCAGCCACCGUCUCCUGCUUGGAACUCUUCCAAGAAAUUGCCCCUCCAUUUAAGGUAAAGAUCCAGCCCGACUGAGAGCGGAAAUUAUCCCUAUCAGUCUGAAAACCAGCAUCACUAUACCCUAAUAUUCUCAAGUCAUCACUGCCACCAAGGGUAAGGACCCAAUCCUUAGUCCUCCGCAGGUACUUGAGAAUGUUCUUUACCGCGGUCCAAUGAGCCUUGCCAGGGUUCCCCUGAUACCUGCUGACCAUGCUCAAAGCAAAUGCCACAUCAGGACGGGUACAAGUCAUAGCAUACAUGAUCGAGCCAACUGCGGAAGCAUAUGGUAAUUGGCUCAUCUCAGCUAUCUCAGCCUCUGUACUCGGACUCUGAGUCUUACUCAGUUUGGUAUUGCUUUGGAUCGGUAAAUCUCCUUUCUUGGAAUUCUCCAUGUUGAACCUUUUCAACACCUUAUCCAAGUAGAUACUCUGACUAAGUCCAAUUAGUCUUCUACUCCUUUCUCUUAAUAUCCUUAUCCCUAGGAUAUAGGUAGCCUCCCCUAGGUCCUUCAUAGCAAAGCACUUCCCAAGCCAGGACUUAACCUCCUGCAAGGUUGGGAUGUCAUUUCCUAUGAGUAGUAUGUCAUCCACAUACAGUACCAAGAAGCUAACUAUACUCCCACUAGCUCUGACAUACACGCAAGACUCAUCUUCGCUUCUCAAGAAGCCAAACUCUUUUACCUUCUCAUCAAAACAAAGAUUCCAGCUACGAGAUGCUUGUUUUAAUCCAUAAAUGGAUUUCUUAAGCUUGCAUACUCUAUUAGGGUACUCUGCAUUGACAAAACCCUCUGGCUGAUUCAUGUACACAUCCUCAGCCAACUUUCCAUUAAGGAAAGCGGUUUUGACAUCCAUUUGCCAUAUUUCAUAAUCAUGAAAUGCUGCAAUGGCUAACAUAACCCUAAUAGACUUAAUCUUGGCCACCGGCGAGAAGGUUUCAUCAUAAUCAAUACCUUGAGUUUGAGUAAAACCCUUCGCAACCAGUCGAGCCUUAUAAGUAUGCACUUUUCCUUCCAUGUCGGUCUUCUUUUUGAAGAUCCAUUUGCACCCGACUGUUUUACGGCCUGGUACAUUGUCAACCAAGUUCCAAACUUGAUUGUCAUACAUGGACUGUAUCUCGCUGUCCAUAGCCUCCUUCCACUUAGCAGACUUCGGGUCUGCCAUUGCUUCCUUAACACUGCUAGGUUCAUCCAAAUUUACCAGUGUACUAUCGCUGAUAAACGUAUCACCUUCCGUAGUAAUAUGAAAGCCAUAAUAAAAUGAUGGUGUGUUCCUAACCCGUGUGGAACGUCUCGGAGGUACAGACUCGUCAGCUGGAUCAACAGGAGUUUCUACCUCAGGUUGAUUGCUAGUGUCUGAGGUUCCUUCACCAAUUGAUUCUUGAAUUUCUUCAAGAUCAAUCUGCCUCCCACUGUCUCCUUGGCUUAUAAAUUCUUUCUCGCGAAAGAUCCCUCUUCGUGCUACAAAGACCACAUUCUCACUGGGUCUGUAGAAAAGGUAACCGAAGGAUUUCUGUGGGUAGCCGAUGAAAAUACACCUUUCACUUCGGGGUUCAAGCUUAUCAUGAGUUUCACGCCUCACGAAGGCUUCGCAACCCCAAAUUUUGAUGUGGUCCAAAUUGGGAACCUUCCCAGUCCACAUCUCAUGAGGUGUUUUGGUAACCUUCUUUGUAGGGACUAGAUUAAGGAUAUGGGCGGCAGUCUCUAAGGCAUACCCCCAAAAAGAGAUUGGUAACGAAACUCGACUCAUCAUAGAGCGAACCAUGUCCAACAAGGUACGAUUACGCCUCUCAGCUACACCAUUCAGCUGUGGUGUCCUGGGAGGAGUCAAUUGUGAGACAAUCCCACACUCCUUAAGAUAGUCAAGGAACUCGGUACUAAGAUACUCACCACCUCGAUCGGAUCGAAGCAUCUUAAUGUUCCUGCCCAAUUGAUUUUCUACUUCCUGUUUGAAUUCCUUAAACCUUUCAAAGGUUUCUGACUUAUGUUUGAUUAAGUAGACAUACCCAUAUCUACUAAAAUCAUCAAUAAAAGUCACAUAAUACCGAUUAGCAUCCCUUGUGGCGGUUUUGAAUGGCCCACAUACAUCAGUAUGUAUUAGGUCCAACAAACCCUCACCCCUUUCACAAGUUCCAGUGAAGGGUGAUUUUGUCAUCUUUCCAAGUAGACAAGAUUCACAACUAUCAUCCGAUUUAAGGUCGAAUGACUCCAAGACUCCACUCUUUUGGAGUUGGCCUAUGCGUUUCUUGUUUACAUAUCCAAGACGACAAUGCCACAAUGAUGCUUUAUCUAGGCUAGUAGAAGAAUCAAUAUACAACACAUUAUUUCCUAAGUUGUCUACAAGCGACACAGUUUCAUACACACCAUCACAAG
This 7498-nucleotide long non-coding RNA is filed under the name Lactuca sativa (garden lettuce). RNAcentral's name for it is "long non-coding RNA (LSAT_LNC003992)". Lineage: Eukaryota; Viridiplantae; Streptophyta; Magnoliopsida; Asterales; Asteraceae. The record is from RNAcentral.